GCACAGCAGUUGGGCCCAGGAAGUCUCUAGCAGCCCAGAAGGGGCAGGAGUCAAGGCCACAGGCCUCACUUUUUUCCCACAGGAAAAGAAUGCUUGGGGACUUUUUCCAUUUCAGAGCCUGUAGCUGUGGCCACAGUGAGACAUGAGUGUGAGGAGGACUCUCACAGCCCUGCCCCACUGUCCACCUAGGCAGAUUCCAGCCAAAUGACAUAGUCCUGUGACAGCUCACCUCAUCUCCCACCAAGGACCCAGAGCAGUCGGCAAGCUGUUCCCAGCCAGGAACCUCUGCCCCACAGCCUCUGUGAGCUGAGGGAAUGACAACCAUGUGCAAGUCCAGCCAGCAAGAUUCCAGAACAUUCCUCCACGGUAAGAUCUCAUCUAACAGCAACAAUCCUGGUGUACACAGCCAUAUUCAGCUCCCAAGCUGCAGAGACCUCCACACCCUUACUCCCUGGUGCCAUCUGCCUGACGUCCUUCUUUGCACCUCUGGCUGCCUGAUGAACUCCUACUCCUUUAUCAAGCUCCCUGUGCAUUACCUCCUGAGAGAAGCACCUCUGAGGAGAUCUACACCCAUCCAUCCAUCGCUCUGUAUGUAAUAACCCCUACCACACCAUCCUGGGCCAACUGGACAUGGCCAAGAAGCCCCCGGAGGCCUGACUCAGUGUCUCCCCAAUCCCCUGCCCCAGCCUGGGUAAGCUGUGGAGGGUCCUCAGGGUGUUUGCUGA
Molecule: long non-coding RNA, 725 nt
Organism: Physeter macrocephalus (sperm whale)
Lineage: Eukaryota; Metazoa; Chordata; Mammalia; Artiodactyla; Physeteridae
Exons: 3
Source: RefSeq, a predicted model, not a curated record